GAUCUCUUAUUCAUACUACUAACAGCUCAAAUUCUCCAACCUACAUUGACAUGACCAAAUGAAAAAUACAACAUAAAGCAAAGGGGGUGGGGUGGGGUGGGGUGGGCGCAUAGCCUAAAUUACACACACACACACACUUUUAACUAGUUUAAUGAGCAAUAAAACAUAUUGUAUUAUCCUUAUCACCCAUCUAACAAAAAAUUAAAAAAGAAACGAAACUAAAAAAAAAUUAAAAGCAACAAAAUAAUACCCAGUGUGAAAGAAAGAAGAUGAGAAAAAGAAAGAAAGAAAUAGGAGGUUAAAAGAAAGAAAGAGUUAGUUCAGCAAGAGGAGAGAAGAGGAGAGGAGGAGAAGAAAGAGAGAAGAGGGGAGGAGAGAAAGAGGAGAGAAGAAGGAGAGAAAUACCUAGUUUGUGGUCUCUUGGAGUGCUGC
RNAcentral lists this unclassified non-coding RNA (432 nucleotides) under Hevea brasiliensis (rubber tree). The record is from RNAcentral. Lineage: Eukaryota; Viridiplantae; Streptophyta; Magnoliopsida; Malpighiales; Euphorbiaceae.